This 355-nucleotide RNase P RNA is filed under the name Candidatus Parendomicrobium reticulitermitis. RNAcentral's name for it is "RNase P RNA component class A". It matches the Rfam family "Bacterial RNase P class A". From Rfam's summary of the family: Ribonuclease P (RNase P) is a ubiquitous endoribonuclease, found in archaea, bacteria and eukarya as well as chloroplasts and mitochondria. Its best characterised activity is the generation of mature 5'-ends of tRNAs by cleaving the 5'-leader elements of precursor-tRNAs. The record is from RNAcentral. Lineage: Bacteria; Pseudomonadati; Elusimicrobiota; Endomicrobiia; Endomicrobiales; Endomicrobiaceae.
UUAGCCGGACUCGCAAUCGCUAUAUCGGAAGAUGAGAUAUAGAGGAAAGUCCGAACUUUACUUGUCCAAGUAGUUUUCUCAUGGGGACAAAAAACGGUAGCAGGCAAUUCCUGCAGAGAGUAAUCUCAGAGGUGCGAACAGAGACGCUUUGUUUGGAAACAAACAAAGUAUCCAUAUUAGGUUUAUGCCUAUUGUGGAUAAGUUUUAUAGCAAUAUAAAAUAUGAAACGGCUAAAUCCUUACCGGAAAGCAAGGCGGAAGUAGCGCCGCUUGAGCAUUAAAAGCGAUUUUAAUGCCAGAGAAAUGAUUGCAUCGCGCAAGCGAAACAGAAUUCGGUGUAUAGUCCGGCUAAUCAA